Molecule: ribosomal RNA, 253 nt
Filed under: uncultured bacterium
Lineage: Bacteria
Description: partial 16S ribosomal RNA
Rfam family: Bacterial small subunit ribosomal RNA
Source: RNAcentral
UACGUAGGGUGCGAGCGUUAAUCGGAAUUACUGGGCGUAAAGUGUGCGCAGGCGGCAGAGCAAGUCGAGUGUGAAAGCCCCGGGCUUAACUUGGGAAUUGCGCUCGAAACUACUUUGCUGGAGUGUGGCAGAGGAAGGUGGAAUUCCACGUGUAGCGGUGAAAUGCGUAGAGAUGUGGAGGAACACCAAUGGCGAAGGCAGCCUUCUGGGCCAACACUGACGCUGAUGCACGAAAGCGUGGGGAGCAAACAGG